RNAcentral lists this long non-coding RNA (4033 nucleotides) under Triticum aestivum (bread wheat). RNAcentral describes it as "long non-coding RNA (TAES_LNC015393)". Lineage: Eukaryota; Viridiplantae; Streptophyta; Magnoliopsida; Poales; Poaceae. The record is from RNAcentral.
AUAAAAAACAAUGAUGGGAACAGAGAUCUUGCCAGAAUAGCAUACGACAACAAUUAUCUUCGAAAAGUUGUUUCUUAAACUCCGCCCUCGUAAAACAACCACUCCUUGGCUGCUACAGCCGCUGGAAGCGACACAGGUGUCAGUAGGCUUAUUAGCGCAGACCCACAAAAAAUGAUCUUCCUCCGUGAGUUGUAUCUUUGAGCGUCAAAAGCAUGUAUCUGUUGUGAUGGGAUUCAACACCACUGACGCCCCAUUUGGUCCAUUUCCAGCGUGCAUCUGAUCUGUAAAAAAUGAAGUGAAGCAAUAAAUAUGAAGGCCAAAUUAGUAAGAUGACAAAAUGCAGAUAAACUGAAAACUGUAUGAACAAACUUGCUAACCUACCUGGGAUUUCUUGACAAACUAAGCAACUAGGAUGGACAGCUUUAUUCGAGAAGAUCGAACAAGGACUGAAGUAGCUGAAGGUCUGAAUACUCAUAAAUAAGAAAACAGUCUAGAUAAGCAGAACAAAUUUUUCGUGGUUGUAGGCUGUGGUGGACUUAGGUCUGAAACAAUGAAUACUAAAUUAAGACUGAACAGUGAAUACUAACUAACCUACCUAUGUGGUAACACACAAAACUGAACAAAAUGACACCUAACACUGAAACUAAUAACAUAACUAAAAAAUGACACUAACCCCUGAGAGUACUUAAAAUGACACUAGUGUGGGAGAAGUUGUUGAGUAAGUGUGGGACAACUUUGGCUCGGAGAUGUGAAAUAUAACCUACAGGUACAAAAAUAAAGGUAAGAAAAUGAUCAGGACUCAUUGGAAAAUGACAGAGUGAGUAAGCACUAGGGACUCAGACUGAUUGACUAAAAACUGAUAGACUAAAAAAGGAAAUGAAUGCAACAAGUAAUGACUAAAUGAGAAAAACAAAUCUAAGAAAAAGCUAAAGUUUAUAUAAUUCUAUCAGCUAAAAGGACUAAGUUUGUAUCUGAAGCAGGAAAAAACUGAAUUCAUACACAAACUAAAGAAGAAAUGAAAUGUUUAACUGAACAGGACAACUAUCAUGCUAUCAUAAAACAUACAUGGAGGUGUUGGUAAUAUCCACAUCAUAGCCUUGUAAAAAUGAGUGAUGAAUGAAAAAUGAAACAUAACAAGAACUAGACUGUAGUGAUAAAUGAAUAACUGACCAUGACAGUGAACUAGACUAUAGUGAUAAAUUUUUUUGAAACAGAACUAUAGUGAUAAAUUGAACAUAUUCAAAACUAAGUUACCACUCAGCUUUCAAAGUCCUCAGACAACCAAACCCCAAAAUUUAGACGCGAUGAGCGACGGUCAGCGCAGUCGGACCUGCAGAUUGGGUACGCCAUCCCCGUUACAUAUGUAGCAGAGAAAAAACUAUUUUUUUAGCAAAAAGAUGACUGAAAAACUAAGAACAGAGACUCACCAGAUAACUAAUUUAAACUACAGGAAUUAUAAACACAUAUCAAGUCUAACAAAUUUAAAAUGAAUGCCGAAAAUACAGGAAUAACAUCAUAAAGUGAAAAUAAUAAGCUGAAUGGAAACUAACUAGUUAGAAUAAUAAAUGACUUAACUUAAAACUGAUAGACUAGAACAAACACUGACCAAAUAACUGAAGAGAACUAAAAUGAGACACUUAAGAUACUAAACAAACACCGACCAAAUAACUAAUCACUUAAUAUACAGUUGAAGAGAACUAAAACUGAUACUUUAGAGUACUGAUGACUAAAAACUGAAAAUAAUCUAGCAAAAAAACCAGUGCAAAAAACUGAAAACCAAAAACUAAAAACUUAGGACUUACAGGAACAUAAGGUUCAAAACAGAAAUAAUCAUCUACUAAAAGACAAGACUCAUGAGAGAUAGGAGUGAAGAAAGAUGCAAAUGAUAACUAAAUAUGAUAAAAAUGAGGACUGAUACUAUUACCAAAACUAACAUAAGACUGAGAAGGCAAGCUUACAAACUGAGGAAGAAAAACACCAAUUGCUGGAACAAAAUUAUAGAAAGGUACUGAAAACGGAAGACUAGACUACAGAAACACUGAAAACAAAGAUUCUAAAGACACAGAAAACUGAAGAACUAGAGAUAGAGAGAAAAGAGGGCUGAAUAAACAAGACAAAAAAGGUGGUUGAAUAGUAAGGUGACUCAAGAAACACUGAAAAGUGAAGGAUUGAAGACAGAGAAAAGAAAUCUGAAGAAAUAAACAAUUACUAAAGACUGAAGAAAGAUGACUGAAAAUAUAUAUGAAAUAGUUACUGAUGACAGGAUGAAGAAGAGAUGUAAUGGGCAAGGUAUGCAAACAGAUGAAUGAAGCAAUUCCAACAGGACAAUAGGGACCCUAACCACUAUAUGGCGCAGAGUGGAGGUGACAGUUUGACUGUCGAGCUAUUGAAUCCUACUAUAGCCUGACAAUUUGUCUAACCUCCCUGAUUGGAUAAGUGAUUUUCAGGCACUGUAGUUAAAAAAAAUAUGAAGUGAAGUUUGCAGCAGUUGAAAUUCAUUUUAAACGAUAGCCAUUGCCAGAAGAACUAAACAAAAAAGUAGGCCCUUUCGCCUUUGAGACACAUCGAUCUUUCACAACUAGCGCGCAACCUAGCCGACCCGUCUCCUGGUAGAUGUUGAUUUCUUCGCGUGUGUUCAAAGAAACUAAUUUAGGGGUGCUCUGGUUUUUUUACUGUUAGGCUGACCCCUGAAAAAAUUGACUUCGAACACACCUUAAUUGGAGGCACUACAAUGAAAGAAAAAUCGCUGUCUACUGAAAAAUGAACGCCCAUGAACCUGCACUACAGCAAAAAAGAAACCUACACCGAAAAGCAACCAGUGUUCAUGCAGGAAAAAGGCCUAAACCUACAAAAAGCAUACUGAAAAAUUAUAAUAGCCAAUACAUAACAGGUAACAGGAAAAAUUCAGAUCUGUCUGUUUUAGCGUGAAUAAAUCACGCCAAAAAAUAACCGUGAGCUUGCUCACAAAAGUCGGGCGUGAGAAGCAAAACCAUCUCCAUAAUGAAGGAAAUAUUUAAGCUGAAUAAUGUACAGAACAUGGUAAAAAAAACUGAAUAAUCUAGUACCAAAAGCUAGCUCUCAUUCACUAAACUGAAAAAUGAUAAGUACAGAAAAUAUAGAUUGUGCGCAUGUAACAUGUUUUCAUCAUGGAAGAUGCUACCGAAGAAAAUAGGAUUCAGAACAUUCCUUCGUCCAUGCUUACAUCAACAGAAAGCAGACGAAAAUGCCGCCUGAACCAUUACUGAACAUUGCAUAGACCCUCCCACAAAAAAAUAAAAUCACCAGCAAAUGCCUAAAAAACUCAAAUACCUACUUCCACACAUGCAACACAUGUGCAGUUUUUAAAAGACUGCAGAGGAGCCGAACCGCAGAUCUACAUCCAACACUUCGUAGUCAACUUAAUGGAAUGUUUUGUUUAGUGGUGAAAUUGACACUCAACACUUCUUUGAACCGGAGAUCUAGAUCCAGAAAAACAACAAGCCGGACUUGGCGAUGAAAUUUGGGGAUUGACUGACACACACGCAUAGGUGGCUGCAAAAUAUUCAGGAUCGUUUCUCAUGAACCACUCAAAAUCGCAGAUGUGAACUAAGCUAUCGCAAAACGUUCCUACCCAAAAACCAGCUAAUCGAACAACCCCUGCGACAUGGCUCUAUGCCCGGCGACCACGACGAUGAACUGAAUCAAACACAGAAAGAGGCAGAUCAGAUAGAACAAACAAAAAAAAUGGACAAACCUAGGACAACAGGGAGACGGAAGUAUACCUUGCGCCCCACCGACGCCGGCAAAUACUACCUCCCCCAGCAUGGGUGCUUGUUGGCCGCGAGCACGACGGGGAGCUCCGCUGAGUUCCUCUCCAGCCCGCGGCCCUCUCUGUGACGCACGCCUCCAGCAAUCAAGCGCCACGCUCCAUCUCCGGUUGGCCGACCAACCGCUAAUCACCGGCGAGGAGGCCCCUUCCCUCCGCCGUCUCCGCCCGCCUCGGCCAACCCCUUCCAAUCCCCUCCCCGGCUAGGACAAAGGCCGCCGCCCUUCG